UCCCACUCCAUUUUCUCCACUUAAACUCCCUUUCGCUUUUUAAUCUUUUUAAAAUGGAGUGUAUUUUUUUAUUUAUUUAAAUGUAAUAUACUAUUGUUUUUUCACAUCAUUAUGCAUUUGUUGUGUAAAUUCUGAUAUCUGGAAUGUGAUGAGAUAUGGGGCCCGGCCAAUACCCAUUUGCUAUCUGGGUAUCGGGUUUGUCCAUUUUUCCCACUCUCAAAUCUUGAUUGGUAAGAAACACUGAAAACAAUUGAGGACACUGUGCCUCAGCUGUAACAACCCCCAGAGACUCUCUUCUGUUCGCUUUUGGGUUUCUUCAAAGGAGUUUUGGUCUGUUGAAAUGUGUAACUAUCAACCUUGGGAAGAGGAUUCACUUCGGAGUGAAUAUUAUGUACAAAGUACUGCAGAAGGCGUAGAUGUAGCGGAGACAAGGUGGGGAGCCCGGCUGGCAAUGUUGGAAGCAAGGGUAACUCGAGUGGAGGCUAGGGUGGAAAGACUUGAGGCAAAGAUGCUUCAUCUGCAGAAGGGAAUGCGUGUUGUUUGCGCGCUGUUUCUGGUUACUCUCAUGUAUGCAAUAUUCAAGUAAAUGUCAUUGUCAGGGAUGAUCCGAUCAUUAGUUUUCAGUUGUAUGCUCUAUAUUUCUGUGAGACAUAUAUAGUUAUGCAUAUGCUGAUUCUCUGAUCUGUUGAGUUUUCUUGCAAGUAAAUGGUAGGUUUGGAAAAUGGUUUGUUUUUUUAUUUUCCUUUUUUUCCCUCUUAUGAUGCUGUAGAACUACAUUUUAGCCAAGCAAAAACAGACCAAAGGUCCCUGAAUCAAUUUGUACAUUGAAUUCUACUGUCAUGAUCUGUCAAUCUGUGUAUCAAGAUUUCACUGUUAGUUGUUAAUUAGUCUGUUUAUCAAGCUAAUGAAUUUUGCCAGAGUAUAGUCAUAAUUGUGCCUCUGAGUAAUGAAAUUUUAUGCCUGAGUAUACAUUAUGGUGCUAAAGCAGGUGCAAUGUUUGUAGUUCCAGAUCAAGUAUAUCACAGGUUUAACUCAACCUACUUAACCAAAUUUACCAUUCAUCGUCGGUGACUACAAGCAUCACGCAAGUGCUGCAAACCAGUGAUUCCUGUUUACCAAUUUGAUCUAUCAUCUUUGCUAUCAGAACAUUGGAAAUGUGUGGGGUUUCAUCACUGGAGUCUGGAGGUUACAAGUUACAAGUCCGUCAAGACUUGCAGCAUUGAUAGUUUGCCAUUUCUUUUAAUUACAUAUAUGAGAGAGAGAGAGAGAGAGAGAGAGAGAGAGAGAGAGAGAGAGAGAGAGAGAGAGAGAGAGAACUUCCACUAAUUUAGCAAGAUGGUCUGAACUACAAUAAAAAUCAUAGCAUUCCAAACACAUAUGCCAUGUCAAGGGGGUGUCCUAUUACACAUCAAUUCAACUCUCAAUUGUCUCAUUUUCAGAUUCACUCUCGACCGUUUCACUAGCUGCCAUCCAAUCUGAUCUUGAUGCUCUAAUGUUCAUUAAUUCUUUUGCAUGUUGCUCAUCUUGUGCUGGAUCUUGCAUCCUUGAAUUUGCUAAGGCCCAAUCUUUCAAGCAAAUUAAUGCUUCUAUUGUAUUUGGUCCACUUGUCAGAUAAAACUUUACCACCUGCACUAAAACAUGAUCCUGAUGCUACAGUAAAGCUGGAAUAGUUAGAAAGUCACGAGCCAUAAGAGAAACAAUAGGAUAUAAUGAUUGAUUUUUUUUCCACCAACCCAAAACACUAAAUUGGUUAUCGUCAGCAACAUCUAUUGUUGGUAAAUCAAGGUAAACCUGUAACUCAGAUUUGGUGGUGGAAGAAGAUGAAGAUGAUAGCUUUGCCCUUUUCAAACAUUGCAUAGAGAAAUCUUGCAUAAUAGGUGUUGUGCGGAAGCGUCAACCAACUGUGAGUGAAAAAUAAACAACUACUGGCAGGAAAAACAAAAUUGAACAGAAAAUUACAACAAGAAGAACACCAAGAUUUAUACUGGUUCGGCAAUUGCCUACAUCCAGUUUGGAGACGACGAAGUAUUCCUCUAUAAUCAAUGGGGAUAUACAAUAGUGUUUACCACUCAAUUUCCCAAAGACCCAAAUACACCCAACCUCACACACUCACAAAGGAAGAGAAAACAAUGAUACAAAGCAAAGAACAACUAUAGAGAAUUUGUUUCUCUCUUUGGCAAAAUGCCUUUCUUGCUAUUUUUCUCUUCUACUCAACACUUAGUUGGAUUCUUCAAAUGAAACCAUUUGCUUCCAAUUUAUAGCCAAAGAAAGUGGCUUCUCAAAGAAGCCAAAGGUUAGGCCAAAGGAAGUGGCUUCUCAAAGAAGUUAUAGCCAAAAGGAAGUGGCUUCUCAAAGAAGCCAAAGGUUAGGCCAAAGGAAGUGGCUUCUCAAAGAAGCCAAAGGUUAGGCCAAAGGAAGUGGCUUCUCAAAGAAGCCAAAGGUUAGGCAAGUCAACAAUAGCCUACCACCAUUUGUGAAAGCUAAUUAAUGCAUUCACAUUGCAACUUGUCAAUAGCCAUCACUUUUGACUAUUGGUUUGAGGCAAUAAUCAACACUUGUUGUGCGGAAGCGUCAACCAACUGUGAGUGAAAAAUAAACAACUACUGGCAGGAGAAAAAAAAAAAUUGAACAGAAAAUUACAACAAGAAGAACACCAAGAUUUAUACUGGUUCGGCAAUUGCCUACAUCCAGUUUGGAGACGACGGAGUAUUCCACUAUAAUCAAUGGGGAUAUACAAUAGUGUUUACCACUCAAUUUCCCAAAGACCCAAAUACACCCAACCUCACACACUCACAAAGGAAGAGAAAACAACGAUACAAAGCAAAGAACAACUAGAGAGAAUUUGUUUCCCUCUUUGGCAAAAUGCCUUUCUUGCUAUUUUUCUCUUCUACUCAACACUUGGUUGGAUUCUUCAAAUGAAACCAUUUGCUUCCAAUUUAUAGCCAAAGGAAGUGGCUUCUCAAAGAAGCCAAAGGUUAGGCAAGUCAACAAUAGCCUACCACCAUUUGUGAAAGCUAAUUAAUGCAUUCACAUUGCAAC
This is a long non-coding RNA of Prunus persica (peach), 3039 nucleotides long. RefSeq lists it as uncharacterized. The transcript is spliced from 3 exons. The record is from RefSeq and is a predicted model, not a curated record. Lineage: Eukaryota; Viridiplantae; Streptophyta; Magnoliopsida; Rosales; Rosaceae.